AGUUAGAAGCAGAUCAGAAAUCGAACACGUUUGCUUUUGCGAUUCGAGAGCCCUUUCUGGCGCGGAGCUAGGGGCGGUGUUACGUAGCUGCCCUGAACUGAGAGCAGCGUUGGCCGGGGGCUAGGGAGCCGGGCUGUUCCACGCUCACUGUGCGCCUCGGGCGGCGGGGCUCGGGCUCUGUCCGAGGUGCUGAACUCCGGGGCUCCGGCCGCGCCGGCAGAGUGUGCCAGCGUCCAUUAUUGCCAGUGUCUGUGGGCAUCUUCCAGAAGGCCGAGCAUGGGGGUCAGGUGAAACCAGGGCGGCCUGCACAGUGGCAGCAGCUGUGGCCAGAGGGACACCAGUGGACACAGAGGCCCAGGGAGAGGAGCAGAGGCCAGCAGGAAACAGCAAAUGCAGAGGCCCAAAGUGACCAGGACACCGUCCUUGUGCACAUCCUGGGAGGAGCCGACGUCUAAAGAAGGGCUGAAGCCUGAAAAUCUGGCAUGACUAGAGCUCAAAGUCAUGGCUGCUUGGGGCACUGUUAGAAAUGUGCCUCCUUGUGUUCUCCCAGUGAUGUGAUAAAGGUGGCAUCUCACUGAAAAGGACCAGGGUUAGGAGGGCUCAGGAGCUAUGGGGUGGCCCAGGGACAGAGAGCUGCUCAUCAAAAUCAGUGUCAAAGCUGCAUGUGCAGCCCUGGUGCUCGGGGGGCUCUGGUGCAGGGUGUGCUGUGGCGUUCCUCGACGACGAUGUUGCUUUACUGGGGGAAGUAUCCUGGUACUGGCAGGGUCAGAAGAGGGUAGUGAGGAGUGUGGUGCUUCUGGGAGCCAUGUGAAUUGAAGUGGAAUAAUUAGCCAGGCAUGGUGGAGGGUGCCUGUAAUCCUAGCUACUCAGGAGGCUGAGGCAGGAGAAUCACUUAAACCUGCGCAGAGGCUGCAGUGAGCUGAGAUCACACCGCUGCACUCCAGCCUGAGCGACAAGAGUGAAACUCGGUCUCAAAAAAGAUAUAGAUAGAUAUAGAUAGAUACAGAUGAUAGAUAGAUAGAUAUCUGAAAGAUUCACAGAGAGUAAAUGACAGUGUCCAAACAAAAAGUGUCCUUUCCGCCCUUGCACAGUGCCGCCCCCAUUCCAAAAACUCCCUUUCCACUGACCUGCUGCCUGUGUGCAUUGUAAUCCAGCUCACUCUCUCCCACUCAGAGCUGCCAGGCAGGGCUACAAACACAGGGCACGAAGCUGCCGUCCUCCCUACCUGGCCAGUGGCAAACAUCACUAAACCCAGCCACCCUUCCCACCAAACCUGCCCGAGGCCUUGGGCUUCUUCCCAUCACAGCGGUCCACACAGCCACCGCCUGCCAGUCAGCAUUAGUUACAGCCACCUGACGCUUGUCUUCAAAUCCAAGAGAGAGGUGCAGGUCAACUGUGACCCUGGGGCCGAGGCCAAGUCAACCACACCCAUUUGUUUGGGUAUCACCUAUGCUGUGCUCAUACUGCAAAGGCCAAGUUGAGCAGUUGAGACAGAGACUGUGUGGCCCACAAAGCCUAAGAUAUUGACCACCUGGCCCUUUACAGGAAAAGCCUGCCAACCCCAGUUAGAAGCAAAGCAUGCUCAAAUUUGUAUUUUUUUUCCCAGAAUAAGAUUGUCAUUAAACUUAUAAAUAGGGUUUCUUAACCUAUUCACACAGUGAAAUGCAGACAGCCCGAGAGUUGUUAUCUAAACUAAAAAAGAAGAGAAUGGGAAAACCUAAUUAUCCUGGAUGUCACAUGCUGACUCCAGGGGUGACUAUACUUUAGUUGACUCAACCUUGGUUUGGAAACUUGCUUUCACUCCCUCCCUGGAGUCAGAAGCCUUCCCAGACAGCAUGUUCUCUGGUCUUGGUCUUCGAAGCUACGGGGAGUUGUGCCAAGGAAGCUCACCCUCCACAGGCCUAGAGCACGACGAUGCCAGGGUCAGGUGUUGCUAACAGCCCUUCCCUCUCUUCCACCUCCUCAAGCCCCCUCCCCAGGAACAGUGGAGGGAGAAUGAAAGAAGGCACAGUUUCACCUUCUCCAUCUGCCUUGGAAGCCGCAACAUCUGCCUUCCAAUUAGGAUGGAGUUACCGGGGUGACGGGGUUGGCUAGCAGGCCCCUCGGCUCCUGACUCCUCUGGGGCAGCCCCCUGCUCUAAUGAAGAGCUAAUUAACAUGAAAAGCAUUGAUUUAGCCAACUGCUGCUUGUAUAAUCACAAGGCACUCUCAGCAGCAGCUUCAAAGCUGUCUCUCCCUUCAGAACACAGGAUUCGCAUAAAGCGUGGGACUAAACCCUCCCCGUGUUUUUAAACAGUGAUUUCCCCACACUCCUGAAGUGAAAACACCAGCUCUGUAAGUCGACCACGUAGGCGCCCCUCUCGCUGCCUUCAAGGGGAACUCUGGUGGGUUUGGUAAAUGUUAGUACUUGCCCGUGUGACCCAGAGAUUGGGUUAGGAAUCAGGUUCCAUCUUCUCUCCUGGCUCACAAACGUGUGUGUUGCCAAGAACUAGUAGGAGGCCAUGGCUGUGCUCUAGCUGUCUCAACAGAGAAGUAGCUUAAACCCUUACAGUGAGGGGUGGGGUGCCUUAACUAUAAGGAACAAAGGCAUGAGAGGCCUCUAAGACAACAUCUGCAUGGAUUUGUUUGACUCCCUCAUCCCAAAUGAUGAUCAUUCAUCUCCCUGAUCAUCCAUGUGGGAAAGUUUGAGGCCAGAUACCAGCUCGAAGCAAGACCAAGAAAUUCAGGCUCUGGCUUGGUAGACUUCUGAGGUAGAGUGCCGUAUGAACCAUACUUUUACUGUCUGAAAAUUGAUCUUUAACAUCUACAGGAUGGCUACUAGCUGCUCCCAUGUAAACCCUGCAGUACCCGAAAACAUCCAGAGACUUUAGAUAGCCCCCAAACCAGCCACAAUGGAUGGGAUUUUGCAGGGGCACCACCUCCAAACAUAGCGGGCCAGUCUGCCUUAUGGCCAACCCUUGUGUUCCAGUGGCCCAGCUUGGUGUGCCAUGUUCUCACCAAAGGACUAUCAGUGUCAUAAAACUGUGAAACUCUUUCUAGUUUCUCUCUUGACCUGCAUCUGACCUCAGCAGACUUCACCCAAGGUAGCAUUGGUUAGAAGAAAGCAAGUGGAGCCCAUGAUUCUAAAACUGUGACGACGGAAGGGUCAUUCAUCAAAGGUUUUGACUGAAGGAAGUGAAUUGGAAGCCAAGGGAAAAUUCCAAGAAAGAAAAGGACUUAACUGAAAAAAGGUCAUUAUAGACUCAAUCCCUUUCCUUUAUUUAUAAGUUUAAUAGAUUAGUUUGGAAUUUGUUGAAGAUACUUUUCAUCCAGAUUUCAGGGAGGUACAUAGCAUGGUAACCCUGUGAAGACAUUGGAGCAAUGGAUAGUUAUACAUCCAGGUAGAUCGGAAACCAGUUCAACAACUCUAGCCAAAGGCUAUUGAUAAAAGACAACUGACAUCUAGAAGGAGGUCAGAGCCACUAACUAGACGGUAGCUGUGCCUUGGAUGAAGCUUAUCUAAUUUGCAGCUGUCAUGAAGUUGAGUACAAUACUGAACAAGUCGACGACAGACUCCUCUGUACGGCAGCAUCACUUUGUCAUUAAGCACACAGACUCUGAGCUGAAUCUGCCCAGGAUCGGAUCCCAGCUCCAGCACUUACUAGCUAGUUAUGUUUCGCAAAUUACUUAGGCUGUGAGUAUUAGUUCCAACACUCAACUGAGCCUCUCCCUCAUUAAACCAACAAGAGAAUUUAAAGGGAUUGUAUAGGCCAGGUAAGGUGGCUCACACCUGUAAUCCCAAUACUUUAGGGGGCCAAGGUGGCAGAGUCGCGGGAGUCCAGGAGUUUGAUGCCAGCCUAGGAAACAUAGUGAGACCAUGUCUCUAGUAAAAAUAAAAAUAAAAUAAAAAUGUAAUUAGCUAGGCAUGAUGGCACACCCUUAUAGUCCCAGCUACUCAGGAGCCUGAGGGAGGAGGAUCAAGGAUGCAGUGAGCCGUGUUCAUGCCACUGCACUCCAGCAUGAGUGACAGAGCAAGACCACAUCUCUUAAAAAAAUAAGAAAGAGGGCUGGGCAUGGUGGUUCACACCUAUAAUCGCAACACUUUGGGAGGCUGAAGCGGGCAGAUCAUUUAAGGUCAGGAGUUCAAGACCAGCCUGGCCAACAUGAUGAAACCCUGUCUCUACUAAAAAUACAAAAAAAUUAGCUGGGUGUGGUGGCACAGCUACUGGGAAGGCUGAGGCAGGAGAAUCACUUGAACCCAGGAGACGGAGGUUGCAGUGAGCUGAGAUCCAACCACUGCACUCCAGCCUGAGCAACAGAGUGAGACUCUGUCUCAAAAAAAUGUAAAAAUAUAAAGAAAAGAAUAAAAAGGAUAGUAUCUGUAAAGUGCCUGGAACAGAGUUAGUGUUCAACAACUGUCAGCAGUGUUGUUAGCUGAGGCUGGUCACUGGGUGACUGUAAUAUCAGUCAGGGUCUCAGUGAUAACAGAAAAUACACUCAAAUUGGGAUAAUGUGAGGAUGGAUUGCUUUCUAAAGGGACUAUUUACAAAGGUGUGCUUGAGAUUUAAAGAAUCUGAAGAUAGUGCUAUAACCCAGGGUAGCAAUUGCAAAGCCAUUACCACUCCUAAGCCUAAGGGCCGAGGGGAGGAAGCAGUUGUUAAAACCCAGAGGGAGAGAGAAGCAUAGAAAGGAGGCCACCAAGGGAAACAGUGUCCUUUGGUUGAAGGACACAGGUGACCACCCUGGGAGGAAGUGAGCGGAGUAAACACCCCCACCCUCUCUCUGAUUCCAGCUGGAGCACCCAUUGGCCAAACCCAACAAGAAGCGCAAGAAUGGGUGAGCCUGGCCAUACAGGUCAGUUUCUGGGGCAGAAAGCGGGGUGGAAAAAGGUGACAGUGGGUCUGGAGGGACAGAAAGACACCUGGUACGAGCAUGUUACAUUUGUUGGGGACAAAGUUAAAAUCCUGCCUGUCAUUUCAAUGAAGCGACUACAACAAUAUUCAGGAUGGCAGAUAUUUAAGAGCAGCAUCUAGAAACAAUGAUUAAAAGGGUUCAGUCGGCUACAAGUCCAAUAUUCAGCCAUUCAUUCAUUUACUCAGCAAAUGCAGGGAAUGCACACUGUGUGUCCAGACCUGCACUAAGCAUGACAAUACAAAAAUAAACAGAACAAGAAUGUAUCCUGAGCAG
Molecule: long non-coding RNA, 5165 nt
Filed under: Homo sapiens (human)
Lineage: Eukaryota; Metazoa; Chordata; Mammalia; Primates; Hominidae
Description: ANKRD34C antisense RNA 1
Source: RNAcentral